This 254-nucleotide ribosomal RNA is filed under the name uncultured bacterium. RNAcentral's name for it is "partial 16S ribosomal RNA". It matches the Rfam family "Bacterial small subunit ribosomal RNA", at positions 524 to 776 of the family's 1533-position model. The record is from RNAcentral.
UACGUAGGGUGCGAGCGUUAAUCGGAAUUACUGGGCGUAAAGCGUGCGCAGGCGGUUUGGUAAGACAGAUGUGAAAUCCCCGGGCUUAACCUGGGAAUUGCAUUUGUGACUGCCCGGCUAGAGUGUGUCAGAGGGGGGUAGAAUUCCACGGUGUAGCAGUGAAAUGCGUAGAUAUGUGGAGGAAUACCGAUGGCGAAGGCAGCCCCCUGGGAUAACACUGACGCUCAUGCACGAAAGCGUGGGGAGCAAACAGG